This 301-nucleotide ribosomal RNA is filed under the name uncultured bacterium. RNAcentral's name for it is "partial 16S ribosomal RNA". It matches the Rfam family "Bacterial small subunit ribosomal RNA", at positions 509 to 807 of the family's 1533-position model. The record is from RNAcentral.
CAGCAGCCGCGGUAAUACGGAGGGUGCAAGCGUUAAUCGGAAUUACUGGGCGUAAAGCGCACGCAGGCGGUUUGUUAAGUCAGAUGUGAAAUCCCCGAGCUUAACUUGGGAACUGCAUUUGAAACUGGCAAGCUAGAGUCUUGUAGAGGGGGGUAGAAUUCCAGGUGUAGCGGUGAAAUGCGUAGAGAUCUGGAGGAAUACCGGUGGCGAAGGCGGCCCCCUGGACAAAGACUGACGCUCAGGUGCGAAAGCGUGGGGAGCAAACAGGAUUAGAGACCCGCGUAGUCCCUGUCUCUUAUAC